AUUGAACGCUGGCGGCAUGCCUUACACAUGCAAGUCGAACGGUAACAGGUCUUCGGAUGCUGACGAGUGGCGAACGGGUGAGUAAUACAUCGGAACGUGCCUGAUAGUGGGGGGAUAACUACUCGAAAGAGUGGCUAAUACCGCAUAAGAUCUCAGGAUGAAAGCAGGGGACCGCAAGGCCUUGCGCUAAACAGAGCGGCCGAUGGCAGAUUAGGUAGUUGGUGGGGUAAAGGCUUACCAAAGCCUGCGAUCUGUAGCUGGUCUGAGAGGACGACCAGCCACACUGGGACUGAGACACGGCCCAGACUCCUACGGGAGGCAGCAGUGGGGAAUUUUGGACAAUAG
RNAcentral lists this ribosomal RNA (345 nucleotides) under uncultured bacterium. RNAcentral's name for it is "bacterial SSU rRNA". It matches the Rfam family "Bacterial small subunit ribosomal RNA", at positions 30 to 374 of the family's 1533-position model. The record is from RNAcentral.